Ipomoea nil (Japanese morning glory) is the source of this 107-nucleotide long non-coding RNA. RefSeq lists it as uncharacterized. The transcript has 3 exons. The record is from RefSeq and is a predicted model, not a curated record. NCBI's taxonomy places the organism in Eukaryota, Viridiplantae, Streptophyta, Magnoliopsida, Solanales, Convolvulaceae.
GUUUGAGCCUCAGUGGAGGCAACUGACGACAUUGACUCUUUAUGUUUCACUGGGUUGAGAAAGUAUGUAUGAACAUAUACUACAUUGUAAUAAAGUCCAUAGUACUA